Molecule: ribosomal RNA, 425 nt
Filed under: uncultured bacterium
Lineage: Bacteria
Description: bacterial SSU rRNA
Rfam family: Bacterial small subunit ribosomal RNA
Source: RNAcentral
UCGAGGAUCUUUUGGCAAUGGGCGCAAGCCUGACCAAGCGACGCCGCGUGUGCGAUGAAGGCCUCGGGUUGUAAAGCACUGUCGAGGGGGAGUAAGCCGAAAGGUUGAACUAUCCCUGGAGGAAGCACGGGCUAAGUUCGUGCCAGCAGCCGCGGUAAGACGAACCGUGCGAACGUUGUUCGGAAUCACUGGGCUUAAAGGGCGCGUAGGCGGGUGUGAAAGUCUGCGGUGAAAUCCUCCAGCUUAACUGGAGAAGUGCCGUGGAUACUGCACAUCUUGAGGAGGGUAGGGGCAUCUGGAACGGUCGGUGGAGCGGUGAAAUGCGUUGAUAUCGACCGGAACUCCGGUGGCGAAGGCGAGGUGCUGGACCCUUUCUGACGCUGAGGCGCGAAAGCCAGGGGAGCAAACGGGAUUAGAUCCCCUGU